This 590-nucleotide ribosomal RNA is filed under the name uncultured Burkholderia sp. RNAcentral describes it as "bacterial SSU rRNA". It matches the Rfam family "Bacterial small subunit ribosomal RNA", at positions 418 to 1003 of the family's 1533-position model. The record is from RNAcentral. Lineage: Bacteria; Pseudomonadati; Pseudomonadota; Betaproteobacteria; Burkholderiales; Burkholderiaceae.
UCGGGUUGUAAAGCACUUUUGUCCGGAAAGAAAACUUCUGCCCUAAUACGGCGGGAGGAUGACGGUACCGGAAGAAUAAGCACCGGCUAACUACGUGCCAGCAGCGCGGUAAUCGUAGGGUGCGAGCGUUAAUCGGAAUUACUGGGCGUAAAGCGUGCGCAGGCGGUUCGUUAAGACAGAUGUGAAAUCCCCGGGCUUAACCUGGGAACUGCAUUUGUGACUGGCGAGCUAGAGUAUGGCAGAGGGGGGUAGAAUUCCACGUGUAGCAGUGAAAUGCGUAGAGAUGUGGAGGAAUACCGAUGGCGAAGGCAGCCCCCUGGGCCAAUACUGACGCUCAUGCACGAAAACGUGGGGAGCAAACAGGAUUAGAUACCCUGGUAGUCCACGCCCUAAACGAUGUCAACUAGUUGUUGGGUCUUCAUUGACUUAGUAACGUAGCUAACGCGUGAAGUUGACCGCCUGGGGAGUACGGUCGCAAGAUUAAAACUCAAAGGAAUUGACGGGGACCCGCACAAGCGGUGGAUGAUGUGGAUUAAUUCGAUGCAACGCGAAAAACCUUACCUACCCUUGACAUGGUCGGAACCCUGCUG